RNAcentral lists this ribosomal RNA (494 nucleotides) under uncultured bacterium. RNAcentral describes it as "partial 16S ribosomal RNA". It matches the Rfam family "Bacterial small subunit ribosomal RNA", at positions 28 to 507 of the family's 1533-position model. The record is from RNAcentral.
GACGAACGCUGGCGGCGUGCUUAACACAUGCAAGUCGAACGGAAAGGCCUGCUUUCCCUUGUGGAUUGCGGGUACUCGAGUGGCGAACGGGUGAGUAACACGUGAGUGAUCUGCCCCCAACUUGGGUAUAAGCCUGGGAAACUGGGUCUAAUUCCCGAUAGGACUGCAGGGUGGUGCCUGUGGUGGAACACGAUUUUCUAGUGGUUGGGGAUGAGCUCGCGGCCUAUCAGCUUGUUGGUGGGGUAAUGGCCUACCAAGGCGGCGACGGGUAGCCGGCCUGAGAGGGUGGACGGCCACAUUGGGACUGAGAUACGGCCCAGACUCCUACGGGAGGCAGCAGUGGGGAAUAUUACACAAUGGGCGGAAGCCUGAUGCAGCGACGCCGCGUGGGGGAUGACGGCCUUCGGGUGGUAAACUCCUUUCGACCGCGGGGAAGCCACCUGGUUGGAAGGGUGGUGACGGUAGUGGUAGAAGAAGCACCGGCUAACUACGUG